Molecule: ribosomal RNA, 416 nt
Filed under: uncultured bacterium
Lineage: Bacteria
Description: bacterial SSU rRNA
Rfam family: Bacterial small subunit ribosomal RNA
Source: RNAcentral
UAAGGAAUAUUGGUCAAUGGAGGCAACUCUGAACCAGCCAUGCCGCGUGAAGGAUUAAGGCCCUCUGGGUUGUAAACUUCUUUUAUAUGGGAAGAAAUGUACUUUUUCUAAAGUGCUUGACGGUACCAUAGGAAUAAGCACCGGCUCACUCCGUGCCAGCAGCCGCGGUAAUACGGAGGGUGCAAGCGUUAUCCGGAUUUACUGGGUUUAAAGGGUGCGUAGGCGGAUGAAUAAGUCAGUGGUGAAAUCUCCGAGCUUAACUCGGAAACUGCCGCUGAUACUAUUUGUCUUGAAUAUUGUGGAGGAGAGCGGAAUAUGUCAUGUAGCGGUGAAAUGCUUAGAUAUGACAUAGAACACCAAUUGCGAAGGCAGCUUGCUACACAAUCAUUGACGCUGAGGCACGAAAGCGUGGGGAU